RNAcentral lists this ribosomal RNA (433 nucleotides) under uncultured bacterium. RNAcentral describes it as "partial 16S ribosomal RNA". It matches the Rfam family "Bacterial small subunit ribosomal RNA", at positions 29 to 507 of the family's 1533-position model. The record is from RNAcentral.
AACGAACGCUGGCGGCAUGCCUAACACAUGCAAGUCGAACGGGAGCAUCGGGUCUGCUGGCGCAUGCGGGCGUAGCGCGGGGGAACCUGCCCUUAGAUUUGGAAUAACUCGCCGAAAGGGGUGCUAAUACCGGAUAAUGUCCUCGAACCAAAGAUAUGACGCGUUUGGAGGGGCGGGGGAUGUAUUGGCUGGUGAGUAGGGUAAAAGCCUAUCAAGGCAACGAUCGAUAGCUGGUUAGAGAGGAUGGUCCGCGACACUGGGACUGAGACACGGCCGAGACUACUACGGGAUGGAGCAGUGGCGAAUAUUGGAAAAUCGGCGGAGUGCUGAAGCACCACGGCCGCGAGAGCGAUGAAGGCCUGAGGGUAGUAAAGCACGUUUAUCCCGGAUUAUAAUGACAGUACCGGGAGAAUAAGCACCGGCUAACUCCGUG